CUCAAGUUUCAGAAAAGUCUCAUGACUUGUGUGAACUCUUUGGACUGUCCUUAUACAUUGACUGGUGUUACACAAGCUUGGAGUUAUAUAUGUAUUAAAAUUGACUCUGAGAUUUGUGAAAAUUUUGUUAAUCACUAGGACAUUUCCUAUCCACCCAUCAGUUGGAUAAGCUGAGUAAGCAUCAUCACCACUAUCUACCUAAUGUUCUGUUGGGCUAUGCUUAGUCAGUCAUGUCCAACUCUUCACAAUCCUAGGAACUGUAGCCCGCCACACUGCUCUGCCAUGGGGAUUCUCCAGGCAUGAAUACUGGAGUGAAUAGCCAUGCCCUCCUCCAGGGGAUCUUCCCAACCCAGGGAUCAAACCCAGGUCUCCCUCAUUGUAGGCAGAUUCUUUACCAUCUGAGCCACCAGUGAAGUCUGCAGCUCUAGGCAGUAGCAUCAGUCAUGUUAGAUACUCUUUCAUCUUUUCCAAACUCUACUUAUCUUACCUGUUCUUUAUUUUAGACCACUGUAUCACAUCUCAAGUCUCAAUCUUCAUAGAAACCACUGGAAGAUCUCGUAAAAGGCAGACUUGGAUAAGGAAUUAUAUGGAGUAUGACAGGAAUUAUGGAAGAAGUGUAUAAGGAGCCAUGUAACAGUAUAUUUCAGCAUCUGCAUAUUAAAUCUUCACAAGUUGUCAUCAAGUCAUCUGCUCUUUAAACGAUCUCUUAAGAAUGAGGCAAAAUAUGAGAAUCUCUGGUUGAAGAGACAAGAACUACAUGGACACAUAAUGCACGGUGUUCUCUCAAGGUACUGUAGUAAUUUAUAAUUGCAGGAUUGCAGAAAUCUGAUGUAGAAGCCUUUUACAGAAUAUGAACAAUGAGAGGGUGUUAUAGCACCCAGAGUUUACUAAACGGAUAUAGUUUUCUUUCCA
This 912-nucleotide long non-coding RNA is filed under the name Bos indicus x Bos taurus (hybrid cattle). Its description in RNAcentral is "lncRNA (ENSBIXG00005006890.1)". Lineage: Eukaryota; Metazoa; Chordata; Mammalia; Artiodactyla; Bovidae. The record is from RNAcentral.